Molecule: small RNA, 179 nt
Filed under: Camellia sinensis
Lineage: Eukaryota; Viridiplantae; Streptophyta; Magnoliopsida; Ericales; Theaceae
Description: transcribed RNA
Source: RNAcentral
GUCUUGAUAAUCUUUAACAAAGAACGAUUGGUGACUUCCAUCUGGCCGUUAGCUUGGGGAUGGCCAGGAGAGGAAAAACAUAUCUUAAUGACCCUGAUCUCUCCCAAUAAGCGUGCGGGCCCUCUUUGGGCUCGGGGUUAUGGUUGGGUCCUGUCAUUAUUUCGUCUGGGUUGUUCGGG